CCUACGGGAGGCAGCAGUGGGGAAUAUUGCACAAUGGGCGGAAGCCUGAUGCAGCGACGCCGCGUGAGGGAUGACGGCCUUCGGGUUGUAAACCUCUUUCGGUCGGGACGAAGCUUCGGUGACGGUACCGACAGAAGAAGCACCGGCUAACUACGUGCCAGCAGCCGCGGUAAUACGUAGGGUGCGAGCGUUGUCCGGAAUUAUUGGGCGUAAAGAGCUCGUAGGCGGUUUGUCGCGUCUAUCGUGAAAACCUGCGGCUUAACUGUGGGCCUGCGGUGGAUACGGGCAGACUUGAGUUCGGUAGGGGAGACUGGAAUUCCUGGUGUAGCGGUGAAAUGCGCAGAUAUCAGGAGGAACACCGGUGGCGAAGGCGGGUCUCUGGGCCGAUACUGACGCUGAGGAGCGAAAGCGUGGGGAGCGAACAGGAUUAGAUACCCUGG
Molecule: ribosomal RNA, 440 nt
Filed under: uncultured bacterium
Lineage: Bacteria
Description: bacterial SSU rRNA
Rfam family: Bacterial small subunit ribosomal RNA
Source: RNAcentral